This 1191-nucleotide long non-coding RNA is filed under the name Mytilus galloprovincialis (Mediterranean mussel). The record is from RNAcentral. Lineage: Eukaryota; Metazoa; Mollusca; Bivalvia; Mytilida; Mytilidae.
GGCGGAAGUACAUGUGAUACAUCCUCAUUCUUUCAAUAUCCAAGCUGUGGGAAGGUCGUGCUCCACGUGUUGUCGGCAAAGUAACUAUAUUCUUUAACUUUUACUUACAUUUGCCUUUGGCAAUAUAGCCUUGGUGGCUUUAAGACCUUGGUGGUCAUUUAUAUAUGCCUUGGUGGCAAAAGACCUAGGUGGUCAUUUAUAUAUGCCUUGGUGGCAAUAGACCUAGGUGGUCAUUUUUAUAUGCCUUGGUGGCAAUAGACCUAGGUGGUCAUUUUUAUGAUUUUUUACAUUUGCCUUGAUGGCAACAAUGAAUUAAAAAUACUAGCCUUGGGGGCGUCAAGACCUUGGUGGUCAUUUAUAUUCGCCUUGGCGGCUUCUUGAUAGAACUAGAUGGUAAUGUUUGACCUUGGUGGCAAAAUGUUUUGGGAUUUAGACCUUUAGGUAGUUAUUAUCAACCCAGGUGGUCAGAUAUUUGUUAUGCCGUGCGCCGGUUAAACGCAGGGCAAAGUGCUAUCGCUAUAUAAAAUAUAUGUGGAAGUGGGGGCUCUGGCCAUUUUGGAAAAUUGUAGUUGAAAGGAGAAUAAUAAAUUGUUUAUAGGGUAAAUAGUUUCUUUUGUUACUUUUGACUGUGUUGUGGACUUUUCAUUUAUUUUUACAUCGUACAUACUGAUAGAAAUGCUAUUUAAAGACUUUGUUAGAAAAGAAUAGAAUUAUUGAGAAAGUGGAAUAAUUUAGUGUGACAUGUCACUUGAUAUUCAUGUUUUUUAUCGGAGUGAUGUGUAUUGAAUUAUAAGGUGUCUUCGUCGAGGUCCGCGUUCAGCGGUCUGUUUGAUUGUACAUAGAAUUGAAUAGAAUGUUUUUGUUUUCAGAUGGUGUUACCUACAGCUUUGACAGGGUGACGAAUGAAGGAGAAGUAAUAUGACAUUGCACGAUGAUUCAUGUCAAUGAGUUUGAACAACCUUUUUUAAAAGGAAAGGAUUUUUUCUAAUCAGAAUAUGGUGAGAACAAAUUGCAAUUGAAGUAAUGUUUUGAUUUCUGAAAAUAGGAAAAUAAUGAAUGGGGAAAAUAUUGAUACUACACUAAAUUAUGUAUGUCUGUGUUGAGAAAGGCAGAAGAUGCCAAUAUGGCACGGUACUAAAAAAAAAAAAAAAAAAAAAAAAAAUCUGUGAUGGAAGCAGCUUUAUGUUCAAA